AGAGUGCUAGCUCAGUUGGUUAGAGCAUGGUGCUGAUAACGCCAAGGUCACAGGUUCGAUCCCCAUACGGUCCA
Molecule: transfer RNA, 74 nt
Filed under: Apaloderma vittatum (bar-tailed trogon)
Lineage: Eukaryota; Metazoa; Chordata; Aves; Trogoniformes; Trogonidae
Rfam family: tRNA
About the family: Transfer RNA (tRNA) molecules are approximately 80 nucleotides in length. Their secondary structure includes four short double-helical elements and three loops (D, anti-codon, and T loops).
Source: Rfam by way of RNAcentral